Molecule: ribosomal RNA, 884 nt
Filed under: uncultured Planctomycetota bacterium
Lineage: Bacteria; Pseudomonadati; Planctomycetota
Description: bacterial SSU rRNA
Rfam family: Bacterial small subunit ribosomal RNA
Source: RNAcentral
AGAGUUUGAUCCUGGCUCAGAAUGAACGUUGGCGGCGUGGAUUAGGCAUGCAAGUCGAGCGAGAACCUUGGAAGCUUGCUUUCGAGGGGACAGCGGCGAAAGGGAGAGCAACGUGUAGGUAUGUACCCCCAGGUUCGGGAUAGCGGCGGGAAACUGCCGGUAAUACCGAAUAAUGUCUCCGGACCAAAGGUGUGAUUCCACCUGGGGAGCGGCCUGCCUCCUAUUAGGUUGUUGGUGGGGUAAUGGCCUACCAAGCCAAAGAUGGGUACCGGGUGUGAGAGCAUGACCCGGCUCACUGGGACUGAGACACUGCCCAGACACCUACGGGUGGCUGCAGUCGAGAAUCUUCCGCAAUGGACGAAAGUCUGACGGAGCGACGCCGCGUGCGGGAUUAAGGCCUUCGGGUUGUAAACCGCUGUCAGAGAGGCGGAAAUGCAUGGUGGCUAUCCACUAUGUUUGACCUAUUCUCAGAGGAAGUCCGGGCUAAGUUCGUGCCAGCAGCCGCGGUAAUACGAACCGGACAAACGUUAUUCGGAAUCACUGGGCUUAAAGAGUUCGUAGGCGGCUUGGAAGGUGGGGCGUGAAAGCCCACGGCUUAACCGUGGAAGUGCGCUCCAAACCACUAGGCUUGAGGGAGACAGGGGUGAGCGGAACAGAUGGUGGAGCGGUGAAAUGCGUUGAUAUCAUCUGGAACACCGGUGGCGAAGGCGGCUCACUGGGUCUCUUCUGACGCUGAGGAACGGAAGCUAGGGGAGCGAACGGGAUUAGAUACCCCGGUAGUCCUAGCUGUAAACGAUGAGCACUAGUUCGAGGAGACCUUCACAUCUUCUCGGACGUAGCGAAAGUGUUAAGUGCUCCGCCUGGGGAGUAUGGUCGCAAGGCAA